This 613-nucleotide ribosomal RNA is filed under the name Debaryomyces hansenii. RNAcentral's name for it is "LSU rRNA". It matches the Rfam family "Eukaryotic large subunit ribosomal RNA", at positions 65 to 664 of the family's 3401-position model. The record is from RNAcentral. Lineage: Eukaryota; Fungi; Ascomycota; Pichiomycetes; Serinales; Debaryomycetaceae.
CCGCAGGGGGAUGGCCUUAGUACGGCGAGUGAAGCGGCAAAAGCUCAAAUUUGAAAUCUGGCACCUUCGGUGUCCGAGUUGUAAUUUGAAGAAGGUAACUUUGGAGUUGGCUCUUGUCUAUGUUCCUUGGAACAGGACGUCACAGAGGGUGAGAAUCCCGUGCGAUGAGAUGCCCAAUUCUAUGUAAAGUGCUUUCGAAGAGUCGAGUUGUUUGGGAAUGCAGCUCUAAGUGGGUGGUAAAUUCCAUCUAAAGCUAAAUAUUGGCGAGAGACCGAUAGCGAACAAGUACAGUGAUGGAAAGAUGAAAAGAACUUUGAAAAGAGAGUGAAAAAGUACGUGAAAUUGUUGAAAGGGAAGGGCUUGAGAUCAGACUUGGUAUUUUGCGAUCCUUUCCUUCUUGGUUGGGUUCCUCGCAGCUUACUGGGCCAGCAUCGGUUUGGAUGGUAGGAUAAUGACUAAGGAAUGUGGCUCUACUUCGGUGGAGUGUUAUAGCCUUGGUUGAUACUGCCUGUCUAGACCGAGGACUGCGUCUUUUGACUAGGAUGUUGGCAUAAUGAUCUUAAGCCACCCGUCUAAAAAAAGGGGAAAAAAAACCCAAAAUUAAAUAAAAAUU